UGGGGAAUAUUGCACAAUGGGCGCAAGCCUGAUGCAGCCAUGCCGCGUGUAUGAAGAAGGCCUUCGGGUUGUAAAGUACUUUCAGCGGGGAGGAAGGGAGUAAAGUUAAUACCUUUACUCAUUGACGUUACCCGCAGAAGAAGCACCGGCUAACUCCGUGCCAGCAGCCGCGGUAAUACGGAGGGUGCAAGCGUUAAUCGGAAUUACUGGGCGUAAAGCGCACGCAGGCGGUCUGUCAAGUCGGAUGUGAAAUCCCCGGGCUCAACCUGGGAAAUGCAUGAGAAAAUGGCAGGCUAGAGUCUUGUAGAGGGGGGUAGAAUUCCAGGUGUAGCGGUGAAAUGCGUAGAGAUCUGGAGGAAUACCGGUGGCGGAGGCGGCCCCCUGGAAAAAGACUGACGCUCAGGUGCGAAAGCGUGGGGAGCAAACAGG
RNAcentral lists this ribosomal RNA (429 nucleotides) under Chloroflexota bacterium. Its description in RNAcentral is "Chloroflexi bacterium partial 16S ribosomal RNA". It matches the Rfam family "Bacterial small subunit ribosomal RNA", at positions 355 to 776 of the family's 1533-position model. The record is from RNAcentral. Lineage: Bacteria; Bacillati; Chloroflexota.